This 250-nucleotide ribosomal RNA is filed under the name Echinococcus granulosus. RNAcentral's name for it is "partial 12S ribosomal RNA". Lineage: Eukaryota; Metazoa; Platyhelminthes; Cestoda; Cyclophyllidea; Taeniidae. The record is from RNAcentral.
UAAAGUUGUUCUAGUUUUGUAACUAAAAUGGUUUGGCAGUGAGCGAUUCUUAUUAGGGGAAUAUGCAUAGUGAAGGAUGGUCCACCUAUUAGUUUACUCUUUUUAUGUUGGUGUAUGUCUGGUUUGAUAUUAUUGUUGAAUAAUUUAAGUUUGUGUAGUUUUAGUUAAGCUAAGUCUAUGUGCUGCUUAUUGGAGUUUUUGUGUGUUACAUUAAUAAGGGUGUUAUUGUAAGAUGAUGUGAUUUAGGACU